This is a long non-coding RNA of Mandrillus leucophaeus (drill), 1454 nucleotides long. RefSeq lists it as uncharacterized. Lineage: Eukaryota; Metazoa; Chordata; Mammalia; Primates; Cercopithecidae. The record is from RefSeq and is a predicted model, not a curated record. The transcript is spliced from 2 exons.
CUUAAGUGGGGUCGGAAUAAGGUUGUGGCUAGGAAGUUCCUGACACCCCAGGGCCAGUGAGUGUCUCGGAAGCCUGUGAGGGGCGGAGACCCGGCUCGGGGAGGUGGAGAAGCUCGGCGGCCGCGGGAGACUAGGGGUGAGACUGCUGUUAGGAACACUCGGUCAGCUGUCCCUUCCCCCACCCGUCCUCUUAGGGGGAGUGGAGAUGUGGGCUCGGAGCUGCGUGGCCCGGGCUGUGCGGAUUCCCUAAGCGCCGCACUUGCGCACAGCCCCUUACGUAACCGUCAGUGCCGGGGAUUCCCUAGAGGGGGGUCAUUCUAUUCAACCAUUAUACACACCCCGGGCUCCUGCCGCCGCGCCGCCGCCGCCUCACAAAAUGGCGGCGCCCAUAGAGGAGACAGCGUCCGCCUCCCCGGCCCCAUUUUGUGGGAGGUGAGAGAUCUGUCAACACGGAAAACCUCUGCUGAGGAUGCAUCCGAGUUUGGAAACCCCACUUAAGGGAUGGAGCCUGGGGGAUCACAUUAAACGGAAAAUGCCAACGACUUCCACCUCUACGCAUUUUUAGUUUUUCAUUUUCUCGAAGGAAGCGCCAGAAGCCUGUGGGGUAUAACUAGAGGGAGAACGGAAAGCUGAGGUGACUGCUCCGGGGACUUGCCGCGGCGCCUUAGUGGCUUUGGUUGCUCUUCCACGCUCCCGGCAGCUGACCGCGAUCUCUUGGAGGGUGUCCUGGGCCACCUCGGCCGCGCCUGUCGUGCAAUGAGACUUUUCUGUAGUUUUAAAAUGCAACAGUCCACGGCCCGGUCGGCACCGCUCGCCUGAAUCGUGGGCUUCGGGAAGCCUGGAGGCUGCUGCUCCAGGAACUCGUGGUCGGCCGGGAACCGGGGAGCUCGGUUGCCAGGAGCGGGCGGUAUUCGUGGACUCCGGCGGCCCUAGCGGGUGGCGGCCGGGAUCCGAGCUGGGGAUGACGGUGCUGAUGGAGCUGAUGGGGCAAGAGUGGGAACGGAGAAGUUGAGAUUUCUGCAGGCUGCGCCUCAAUCACUAAGUUCCACACUCCAUCCUCUGCCGCGCCAAUCCUGGCAUGUGGAUCACCAAGAUAAAAUUUCUGGUCCUGUCUGUUCUUACUGAUGUCCUUUAGAGUUGAUAAAUUUGAUUGCCACUAAUCAGUCUGUAUCUCUUGCAAGAACACCACAUUUAGCAUCGAAGUAGAGUCAGAGUAUAUUUUUUAUGAGAUUGUACUAAAGUAACCUUCUAUUAUAUUUCUUAUUACCAUAUUGCAUUUCCUGUAGUGGGCAGCAUAGAGCAGGUGGAUCCUGGCAAAGUAAUGUUAGAGAUGUGCUGACAGCUUUACAAUAGAUGUUCUCCAACUAAUUUGAGAAGAUACAAAAUAAAAUGUAGUUCGUAGUUUUCAAGCAUUAAUGGAAAGUGUUCCUAUUAAAAAAUUACCAAUAACAGUG